RNAcentral lists this ribosomal RNA (499 nucleotides) under uncultured bacterium. RNAcentral's name for it is "partial 16S ribosomal RNA". It matches the Rfam family "Bacterial small subunit ribosomal RNA", at positions 28 to 507 of the family's 1533-position model. The record is from RNAcentral.
GACGAACGCUGGCGGCGUGCCUAAUACAUGCAAGUCGAGCGAAGUUUUUCUGGUUCUUGCACUAGAAAAACUUAGCGGCGAACGGGUGAGUAACACGUAAAGAACCUGCCUCAUAGACUGGGACAACUAUUGGAAACGAUAGCUAAUACCGGAUAACAGUAUUUCUCGCCUGAGAGAUAUUUAAGAGUUGGUUAUGCUAACACUAUGAGAUGGCUUUGCGGUGCAUUAGCUAGUUGGUGGGGUAAAGGCCCACCAAGGCGACGAUGCAUAGCCGACCUGAGAGGGUGAUCGGCCACACUGGGACUGAGACACGGCCCAGACUCCUACGGGAGGCAGCAGUAGGGAAUCUUCCGCAAUGGGCGAAAGCCUGACGGAGCAACGCCGCGUGAGUGAAGAAGGAUUUCGGUUCGUAAAGCUCUGUUGUUAGGGAAGAAUGGAUAUGUAGUAACUAUACAUGUAAGAGACGGUACCUAACCAGAAAGCAACGGCUAACUACGUG